Molecule: ribosomal RNA, 578 nt
Filed under: Aspergillus niger
Lineage: Eukaryota; Fungi; Ascomycota; Eurotiomycetes; Eurotiales; Aspergillaceae
Description: eukaryotic LSU rRNA
Rfam family: 5.8S ribosomal RNA (bases 206-359)
Source: RNAcentral
ACCUGCGGAAGGAUCAUUACCGAGUGCGGGUCCUUUGGGCCCAACCUCCCAUCCGUGUCUAUUGUACCCUGUUGCUUCGGCGGGCCCGCCGCUUGUCGGCCGCCGGGGGGGCGCCUCUGCCCCCCGGGCCCGUGCCCGCCGGAGACCCCAACACGAACACUGUCUGAAAGCCUGCAGUCUGAGUUGAUUGAAUGCAAUCAGUUAAAACUUUCAACAAUGGAUCUCUUGGUUCCGGCAUCGAUGAAGAACGCAGCGAAAUGCGAUAACUAAUGUGAAUUGCAGAAUUCAGUGAAUCAUCGAGUCUUUGAACGCACAUUGCGCCCCCUGGUAUUCCGGGGGGCAUGCCUGUCCGAGCGUCAUUGCUGCCCUCAAGCCCGGCUUGUGUGUUGGGUCGCCGUCCCCCUCUCCGGGGGGACGGGCCCGAAAGGCAGCGGCGGCACCGCGUCCGAUCCUCGAGCGUAUGGGGCUUUGUCACAUGCUCUGUAGGAUUGGCCGGCGCCUGCCGACGUUUUCCAACCAUUCUUUCCAGGUUGACCUCGGAUCAGGUAGGGAUACCCGCUGAACUUAAGCAUAUCAAA